ACAGGGAGUCAUAAAAGAAAAGGAAAUCAAGUAGUUUAUCCAAGGUGUAAAUUGCAGGAUAUAUGUCGCAGGCGGCUUCCAGCGCGUUCAGUCGCGGGCAGCCUACAAGCGUUCAAGACACUCCGCAUGAGAAAUUAAAUGCCACCUACGGACAAGGAAACGACUGGAAACCAUUUUUACAUACAAUUGGCACUCCUCAGAUGAUCAGGCAUUAUAUGCGUCUGGCCGAUAGCAUCAAGGCUCUCAAAAGUAACAGAAAACAAAAACACCUCUAUUUAGGCAACAC
Molecule: long non-coding RNA, 286 nt
Organism: Populus euphratica (Euphrates poplar)
Lineage: Eukaryota; Viridiplantae; Streptophyta; Magnoliopsida; Malpighiales; Salicaceae
Exons: 2
Source: RefSeq, a predicted model, not a curated record